GUGGGGAAUCUUGCGCAAUGGACGAAAGUCUGAUGGUGCAACGCCGCGUGGAGGAUGAAGGUCUUCGGAUUGUAAAUUCCUGUCAUCGGGGAGUAAGACCUGGCGGUAAAUAGCCGACAGGGUUGAUAGUACCCGAAGAGGAAGGGACGGCUAACUUCGUGCCAGCAGCCGCGGUAAUACGAAGGUCCCAAGCGUUGUUCGGAAUCACUGGGCGUAAAGGGAGCGUAGGCGGCGUGGUAAGUCAGAUGUGAAAUCCCGGGGCUCAACCCCGGAACUGCAUCCGAUACUGCCAUGCUUGAGGGUUGGAGAGGUAGCUGGAAUUCUCGGUGUAGCAGUGAAAUGCGUGGAUAUCGAGAGGAACACUCGUGGCGAAGGCGAGCUACUGGACAACAUCUGACGCUGAGGCUCGAAGGCCAGGGGAGCAAAAGGGAUUAGAAACCCGGGUAGUCC
Molecule: ribosomal RNA, 450 nt
Filed under: uncultured bacterium
Lineage: Bacteria
Description: partial 16S ribosomal RNA
Rfam family: Bacterial small subunit ribosomal RNA
Source: RNAcentral